CACGCCCCAAUUACGUCGUACUGCUGGUGAUUCCCUUUGGACUGCUCACCCUGGAAAUCAAUGCUUGUCGGCAUCCGGUCUGCAGCUGGGAUACACCAGAGACUUGGUCUGUGAACCCACGCGGCGAGGGAAUAUCCCCAGAUUGUUUUCGAAGAAUUAGCUCCUCCAUCAAAGAAAGACGCCGUUAUUAGGAUUGACUCUUGUGAGCGCUCUUUUUAACCGAAUGGUACAGAAGACUUGACAAGGGUCAAUAUUUCCAGAAGCGAAGCUGGGCAUCCAUUUCCUCGACAUCAUUUCAUGUGCAAAUCGAUUGACCGGAUGUCUCGAUUUCAGAAUCCCUUUGUGCAUACCUCUAUUGCGAU
This 362-nucleotide small RNA is filed under the name Histoplasma capsulatum var. duboisii H88. RNAcentral's name for it is "Histoplasma capsulatum H88 hypothetical RNA". The record is from RNAcentral. Lineage: Eukaryota; Fungi; Ascomycota; Eurotiomycetes; Onygenales; Ajellomycetaceae.